This is a non-coding RNA of Paramuricea clavata, 1403 nucleotides long. The record is from the annotation of a GenBank genome assembly. NCBI's taxonomy places the organism in Eukaryota, Metazoa, Cnidaria, Anthozoa, Malacalcyonacea, Plexauridae.
CACGACUAAAUAAAAAUAGUGCGAUUAAUGUUGAUAUGUUAGGAUAUAACUUUUUCCAUGUUGAUUCAUUAACCAGUGCAGGUGGUGCCGCUCUAUAUGUUUCAGAAGAAUUAAAAUGUCUAAGUAGGCCAGAUUUACAAAUUGAUAUUGACCAGGUUGAAUCCUGCUGGGUUGAAAUUGAAACUGAAAAAGGUAAAAAUAUAAUAAUGGUGGGAAAUUUGUCUGAGCAUGCGCGAGUAAAAUGAGCCACGCAGUUGCGUGGAAUACGCAACGCGUGUUUACAAAAAGGCACAAUCGUGUAAAUAUUGCCAAAUGUUUGUACAAAAUAAAUUACUGUUUUAUGUUGAAAGAGUAGACAUGAUCUAAAUUAAUCAUACAGAAUUUUUUAGUGACGUUCUAUUUCAGUACCCUGCCAUUGUCUCUGGUGGGCUGUCCGUGUGCAUUCGAUCUGAAACAGUUGCUACUUUGCUGUCGAAGAAUUUCGAAUGUUUACAUGAAUAUAGAGGCAAGUCAUGCAUUUUACAACCUCUUAAACUGUAUGAGCCCCUAUUUUUACGCUUAUACCUAAGAUAUCAAAUAAAAGUACAUGAAACAGAGAACAUUUGUAGAAAGUUUUAUCGUGAGGCCACGGCCAGUUUUUAAAAUAUCUUUAUUUCUGUUCCGGUCAUCACCAAAAUUACACAAAAGCCGGGCUUGAAUAUACAACAAAUUUUGAAUCUCAUCAAGCACAAAAAUACUUAACGUGUAACCAAAAUAUGCUCAUGAAAUGGAAAUUAAUAGCUAAAUUUUCAAACUAGACCCUUCUCGAAGCGGUUUUCAUGAACGAAGUUCACAUUUCGGCCUUUGAUUCUUGGCAAAAAUUUGACCACAACACGUGCGAAGCAACUGGGUCUCAAAGACUGAACUAAAACAUUGUGAGCCCCUAUUUUCCUGACGAUAUGUUUGAUACCUACAAACGCCGAAAAGUUUUUUCUUUUCAUUUAGCAAUAUUUGAAAUUGAGGCCACGCGCUAUUUUUGAGAAAAUGCAGUUCAAAGUCAAGCUAUUUUUACAUAUUUUCAAAAUUUGUCAAAUUUCGCGAGCUUGUAUUUUAAACUUAGACAGCUGAAGUUACAUUAUGAAACAUAGGAUGGAAAAUUUGAGGCAUAUAAAGUUAAUUUCAACUUACAUUUCAUUCCCAAAUCACGUCUUUCUUCGUUUAUUACGGUUUUAAACAAGCCAUAGAUCGACGUAUACGGUAUUUACUCCCAUGUUCACGUCGCCAUAUUAACUUCUUCCAAUCACUCGAUUACAAAACAAUCAUCCGAAAACAAAGAAUUCAUGAUCGACUUUUAAAAGAAUAACCAAUAAUUUGCAAAUCGUUGAAUGGAAAGCAAAAAAUCGUCAGCUAAAACAGCUUCUUGC